UGAGGCAGGAGAAUUGCUUGAACCCAGGAGGCGGAGGUUGCCGUGAGCUGAGAUCGAGCCACUGCACUCCAGCCUGGGUAACAAGAGCGAGACUCCAUCUCA
This 102-nucleotide microRNA precursor is filed under the name Saimiri boliviensis boliviensis (Bolivian squirrel monkey). RNAcentral describes it as "miRNA (ENSSBOG00000006091.1)". Lineage: Eukaryota; Metazoa; Chordata; Mammalia; Primates; Cebidae. The record is from RNAcentral.